Molecule: ribosomal RNA, 480 nt
Filed under: Triticum aestivum (bread wheat)
Lineage: Eukaryota; Viridiplantae; Streptophyta; Magnoliopsida; Poales; Poaceae
Description: partial small subunit ribosomal RNA
Source: RNAcentral
AUGGACCAAUCCAUCCCUUUUUCUCAUGCAUAUGCAUCAGACUCUGAUGACGAUGGUCCCGAUGAAGAAGUUGAUGAGGAGGGGUUCACGCCCAAGGAGGCCCAAGCAUUUAAGAAGGUAUUCUGGCGGGACCACAAGACACCAUUGUUCAAGGAUCUUAGUCUCACGGAUGAAGCCGUUGUAGAUGGUGGCAAAUGUAUAUCUCUUGGAGCUAGGCCAAGUUCUCACCGUGAUUUGGAAGACAGCAAGAACGGGAUAUAUCCCGGCUGUAAGUUUCAAUCCUUCUUGGAAUUGAAGAUGUGGCUCGACAACUACUCGGUUACACAUUAUCAUCCACAUAAAGUGGCCAACUCGGACGUCAAUGUGUGUUACACGGUUAAAUGUGAAGUGCCAAGAUGUCCAUGGAUUGUGUGUGCAAGGCCAUGGAAAGGAGGUCCCACUUGGCGCAUAGUGAGUUGUACGCCAAGUCACAUGUGCUGA